This 1576-nucleotide long non-coding RNA is filed under the name Sus scrofa (pig). RNAcentral describes it as "lncRNA (ENSSSCG00035073310.1)". Lineage: Eukaryota; Metazoa; Chordata; Mammalia; Artiodactyla; Suidae. The record is from RNAcentral.
ACACGUCAUCCUCCAGGACUGCUUUCGUGGUGAGCGUGGCGCGGGACCACCUCGAGAAGACCCGGGCUGCAAGCCCAGAAAAAUUCCUCCUGCUGCUUUUGCUCCAAGGCCCAGGGCUGGUGCUAUAAGAAACCUGCCUUUGUUAAGUAACAGCAGCUUUCUCAGUUUGGGUUCAUCAGGGGCAUCCAUGAGAUGCCUGUGCAACUUGCACUGGCCGGGAGAGUCUGAACCCCCACAGCGGGCUGGUAGAGAACCCCAUCCAAAGCAAAGAAAGGGAUGGUGUAUGGAGGCCGUGGUGGCCUGGCCCUCCGUCAGGUGCAGUGUCCGUCAGGGAUUUCAAGAGGCCGUAAAUAGCUUAGAGACACUCUCAUCCCAGGAAAGCCUUAGAGGGCCCCCAGGGAACCCCAGAUUGGGAAUCACUGGGCUAAGCCAGUUGGGAUGUGGAUGGUGCGUUACGCUCUGACAAUGCCCGCAGCCACGCCUAUUUCCCCAUCAAGGAAGGUCCCCUGACUCUGCCAUUUACCGGCUGUGUGAUCUUGGGUGGAUGGCUUUCCCUCUCUGAACCUCUGAGUCCCAUGGCGUCCCCUCCUGGGUUGGAAGCACUCUGGAGGGGCUGGGUGUCUUUUUUUUUUUUUUUUUUUUCCUUUUUUGGCCACCCUGCAGCAUUCAGAGCUCCUGGACCAGGGAUCAGAUCUGAGCCACAGUUCUGACCUACACUGCAGCUGCGGCCACGCCAGGUCCUUAACCCACUGUGCCGGGUGGGGGAUGGUACCUGCGUCCCAGGGCUCCAGAGACGCCGCAUUCCUGUUGUGCCACAGCGGGAACUCCUGGCCCACCGCCACGGCAGUUUGGCCGUGUUUCCCAAAGAGGCUCUGAAGCUCUGAUGCCAGAGAUUCACAAAGACUCCUGAAAAACAGCUUCCUUGCCCACUUUUGCUUAAAUACGCCAAAGUGCACUGGGAAUCUUGGAGAAGACACUCAAGACCACGGCCUGCCUGUACCCUGCACACCAAGGUUUUCCAGGGCACAACCUGGGAUCAGUGUUCCAAGGAGCACACUUUGGGAACCCAGCCCACGACAGGUCCUCCAGACUAAAAAGUGAUGGCUACAGGGAUCCAGGCGUGUUUGCCUCCUGGAAAUGUGCAGAAAAAUCCGUGACCCGUCUGAACCCACGUGGAGAAAACUGGAGGAGGAGUGAACUCAGGAUGGAUGAAUAAUGCCAAAGAUAAACACGUAAUAAAUAGGUAAAAACCCUUCCGUGGCUCCUCACUCUCCUCGGAAGACAGUCCAAACUUGAGAGUGGCCCUGUGGCCUUUGGGGGCCAGGCACAGACCAAGCUCGCACACCGAGGGGCUCGUCACCUUCUCUCCCUUGGACACACAGACUGGACUGAAUGGUGCCAGCUUCUCCUCUUUAGAACCUCACAUCCUCUGCCUGGCACACUGUCUCCUCUUCUUGUUACUUGCUAAAUGUCACUUCCUCCAGGAAGCCCUCCCUGCCUAAUUGACUUUAGUUCAAACCCCGGGCUCCCGCUGCACUUCUUUGUAGCCCUCGUCAUUGUAAUGAUCUAAAAAAAA